This 280-nucleotide long non-coding RNA is filed under the name Elaeis guineensis (African oil palm). RNAcentral's name for it is "long non-coding RNA (EGUI_LNC057269)". The record is from RNAcentral. Lineage: Eukaryota; Viridiplantae; Streptophyta; Magnoliopsida; Arecales; Arecaceae.
CACAUGAGAAGUGGAGGGAGGCCCUAAAGGACCUCCAGAGGGCUAACUAACCAUACCCUCAGAAGAUCGUCGAGGAGGGCACAAGUUGUCAUAGGCAUAAGAUGCUGCAGGCACAUGCUGCCUCUCGUGCGAAGAUGAGAAGAGUACAAAAUAUCAUAGGCACAAGAUGUCAUAGGUACAUGCUACCUCUCGUGAGGGCUAACUAGUCAAACCCUCAGAACACCACCGAGGAGGGCAUAAGAUGUUGUGGGCACAAGAUACCAUAGACACAUGCGACUUC